Canis lupus familiaris (dog) is the source of this 397-nucleotide long non-coding RNA. RefSeq lists it as uncharacterized. The record is from RefSeq and is a predicted model, not a curated record. NCBI's taxonomy places the organism in Eukaryota, Metazoa, Chordata, Mammalia, Carnivora, Canidae. The transcript is spliced from 3 exons.
GUAUACCUGGACCCAAGCUCAAGCUUGCUAAUAAACCCUCGUGCGCUUGCAUCGUUGUCAGCUCCUCGGUGGUUUCUUGGAUUCGCAAUCUUGGGCACAACAACAGUACUGAUUACACUUUGCACUAUAUCUUGCAAUUAGGUAAUCUCUAGACCCAACGUGAGACUCAAACUUAUAAACAACCCCAAGAUCAAAAGUCACAUGCUCCACUGACUGAACCAGCCAGGCACCCUUAAAAAUUAUUUUUAAUGGGAUUAUUUACCAUGUGAAUUUGGAAAAGUUUUAAAAUCUAUUUAAGGGACACCUGGGUGGCUCAGCUGUUGAACGUCUGCCUUUGGCUCAAGGUGUGAUCCCCGAGUUCCCGGAUCGAGUCCCACAUCAGGCUCUUUGCCCAGAG